AUUGAACGCUGGCGGCAGGCCUAACACAUGCAAGUCGAGCGAGCGGCGGACGGGUGAGUAAUGUAUUGGGAUCUGCCCGAUAGAGGGGGAUAACUACUGGAAACGGUAGCUAAUACCGCAUACUAUCGGAUGAACCCAUAUCGGAUUAGCUAGUUGGUGGGGUAAAGGCUCACCAAGGCAACGAUCCGUAGCUGGUUUGAGAGGACGACCAGCCACACUGGGACUGAGACACGGCCCAGACUCCUACGGGAGGCAGCAGGUGGGAAUUUUGGACAAUGGGGGAAACCCUGAUCCAGCCAUCCCGCGUGUAUGAAGAAGGCCUUCGGGUUGUAAAGUACUUUUGGCAGAGAAGCGGUAUCUGCAGAAUAAGCACCGGCUAACUAAGUGCCAGCAGCCGCGGUAAUUC
RNAcentral lists this ribosomal RNA (406 nucleotides) under uncultured bacterium. RNAcentral's name for it is "partial 16S ribosomal RNA". It matches the Rfam family "Bacterial small subunit ribosomal RNA", at positions 30 to 526 of the family's 1533-position model. The record is from RNAcentral.